GCCUAGCCCUAAACACAAGCAACAUGAUACCCCACUGCUCGCCAGGGGACUACAAGCCCUAGCUUAAAACCCAAAGGACUUGGCGGUGCUUUAGACCCCCCUAGAGGAGCCUGUUCUAGAAUCGAUAAUCCCCGAUAAACCUCACCCUCUCUUGUUCUCCCCGCCUAUAUACCGCCGUCGUCAGCUUACCCUGUGAAGGUUUAAUAGUAAGCAGAAUUGACACAGCCCAAAACGUCAGGUCAAGGUGUAGCGUAUGAGUGGGAAAGCAAUGGGCUACAUUUACUGCCCCAGUAAAUACGGACUAUGCUCUGAAAAAGCACGUGAAGGAGGAUUUAGCAGUAAGCGGGGAAUAAGAGUGCCCCCCUGAAAAUGGCCCUGAAGCGCGCACACACCGCCCGUCACUCUCCCCAACGACCAGCUUACUAAUAGCUAAUUCGAUCCCGUCACAAAGGGGAGGCAAGUCGUAACAUGGUAAGCGUACCGGAAGGUGCGCUUGGAAAAACC
This 504-nucleotide ribosomal RNA is filed under the name Ginsburgellus novemlineatus. RNAcentral's name for it is "partial 12S ribosomal RNA". It matches the Rfam family "Bacterial small subunit ribosomal RNA", at positions 794 to 1528 of the family's 1533-position model. Lineage: Eukaryota; Metazoa; Chordata; Actinopteri; Gobiiformes; Gobiidae. The record is from RNAcentral.